Molecule: ribosomal RNA, 433 nt
Filed under: uncultured bacterium
Lineage: Bacteria
Description: partial 16S ribosomal RNA
Rfam family: Bacterial small subunit ribosomal RNA
Source: RNAcentral
AGCGAACGCUGGCGGCAGGCCCAACACAUGCAAGUCGAACGAACUCUUCGGAGUUAGUGGCGGACGGGUGAGUAACACGUGGGAACGUGCCUUUUGGUUCGGAAUAACUCAGGGAAACUUGUGCUAAUACCGAAUGUGCCCUUCGGGGGAAAGAUUUAUCGCCAUUAGAGCGGCCCGCGUCUGAUUAGCUAGUUGGUGAGGUAACGGCUCACCAAGGCGACGAUCAGUAGCUGGUCUGAGAGGAUGACCAGCCACACUGGGACUGAGACACGGCCCAGACUCCUACGGGAGGCGGCAGUGGGGAAUCUUGCGCAAUGGGCGAAAGCCUGACGCAGCCAUGCCGGGUGAAUGAUGAAGGUCUUAGGAUUGUAAAAUUCUUUCACCGGGGACGAUAAUGACGGUACCCGGAGAAGAAGCCCCGGCUAACUUCGUG